Molecule: long non-coding RNA, 1566 nt
Organism: Stomoxys calcitrans (stable fly)
Lineage: Eukaryota; Metazoa; Arthropoda; Insecta; Diptera; Muscidae
Exons: 2
Source: RefSeq, a predicted model, not a curated record
UUACUAUCUCAGACAUUAAUUCUGGUGUCUUUUGUGUCUCUUUGUCCAUGCAUUCGGGUCCGGAAGAUUUCUGAGAUGAAUUUUCAUCAAGAACUUGAAUUUGUUUUCUUUGGCUAGUGUUGUCAGAGCAACAACAACAAGAUUUGGAAUUCAUUUUUCACAAUUUGCAAUCAAAAAAAGGCAAAACAAUGGCGUCAAGUAAAAAAUAAAAUGAUUGAAUAUGCCUGGGCCUGCUUUUGUUUUUUUUUUUUUUAAAUGAGAAACGUUUGAACCCAAGAAAAACAAAUUUAGAUCCAUUUCAAUAAGGUUCGAUUGGAGACUGCCUUAUAAUCCAUGGAAGUAAGAGAAGACCAAGCAGCUGUUUGCAGAGGCCGUUAUUUAGUUUGUUCAGUUCACUGGGUUCAGCAAUUAAGAGCAAUUGGACAAAAUCUUAUUCACACGACCGCUCAUUCAAAUACUUUAGGAGAUGAAGAAAUAACACUGGUAAUUGGGGCAGACGUCUGGUACAAGUGAUGACGAUAAUAUCCCAGAGGCACUUCCAAGUUACGAUAUUGAGAGUGUACUAUCCAUCUAGAAUGAGUCCUUAAUAGAAUAAGGGACAAACUUGUUGUUGUUGUGGGAGUGUGUUGUACACUGGGGGGCUGUCCUUGCCGAUGAAAGACCCCAUCAGGUCAAUCUGGUGCGUACAACCGGCUGCCAUGAGAUUGGACAAACAUUGAUCACAAUAUUUGACCGGCAACUGCGGCCUUAUGCUGAGUAUGCACCUCUAGCGAAAUGUCCGGCAGCCAAGACAUGUGUGUCGCCACUGAAAAAUACAAGAUGGCGCCAAACAUCGAUUUAUAGUUUAGGCCGAGUUUUAAUCAUUUUUGGCUUAUUAAGUACAUAUGUGCUGUAAUUAAUCGUUUUUAUUUGCAAAUAACUGUACUUCAUGUUGCAUGCAGCUAUUGAAACAAGAAAAAAAAUCACCAAUUCCUAUUAUGUCACCCGUUACGCAAAGAAAAUUUCGUUCGAGCUGCGUACCUCCCAGCGAAAUAUUCGGUAACGAAAAUUUCGUUAAAUUUCAAUGCAUUUCUUAUGAAAACGAAACUUUCGCCAGAGGUGCAUACAGCGCUUUAGGUAAUAUAUUGAAAGAAUCUUCCCAAGUGGGAUAUGAAGAGAUACCUGCAACUAAAUACGUAGACGACAACGACCGCCAUGUCGAGAAUAUAGAAAACGAAUUUCAACGUGACUUUAACAUGUUGACCUUGGUGGUUAUAACGUCUUUGUAAAACAGCGGUGUCAAACUGAGACCUACCGCACAGUGGCGCAGUAUCAAAAUCCAACUUAAAAACAAAAAACUUGGAAGAUUUUUUCCUAUAGGCAAUUUAAGUUUUUUUGUCCUUGAUAGUAAUAAAGAAAAGCAACCAACGGGAGAGGGAGCACGGAUGGCCGGAAUAAGUAAUCCCACAGCAGCCGGUUGUACGUACCGAAUUGAUCCGAUGAAAUCCUUCAUCGGCAAGGGUUGCCACCUUUGUGUACAACACACAGGUACAAUAAAAACCGGAAUAAGCACUUCCCAGAAAGGAA